UUGAAGAAUCCCGGCAGCGGAGUUUUUUUUAAUACAUAUGUUUUCCCUUAUCAUUUGGUAACAUUAUCUUUUUCAAACUUCUUUUCAGUUGCCAAAAUCAGAGUACAUCUGAGGCAGGUGAUAUGUUAGAUGGAAAAUGCUUGUAUCUUAUUUAACAGGUUAUUGCAUAUCUGUAGGUCUUUGAUCCUUUGCAUUCAAUAUUCAAUAUUUAGAGUGAUAUGUGUAUAUUCCCUCAUGUUCAUGAAGAGAAAAUUCAUCGUUGAACUUAUUCUUCUCAUUUUUGUGUGAAUCAAGUUGGAUCAAUCUCAGGUUAUUUAUCUGAACUUGGUCCAGCUGAGGAUUCAUCCUACUAGUUUGGCAUUGAGGCGUAGUAUUUGUUUUUGUUGGUUGAAUUAGUUUCGGUGAUUUCCAGUCUCUGUACUGUCUGAUAAAAUAUACUAAUAGAUGAUUCUAAUAUAAGAUGGUUUGUUCAUUUAGAAUAUAUUGUGGUAUCCCAAUCUAGGUUUUGACUCUAAUAUUUAAUUCCUGCCUCAAUCCUUCUGAAAAAGAAUAUUUUUAGUAAACUUCACUUCCAAAAAAGACUACAUUGUUACUGUUUCAGUUAUGCUUCUUGGUCAAGCUGUUGUAACCUUUACAGAGUCUGGAGGCUUAUUUAUUAUCAAGAGGCUGGUCGGGAUGGAAAAGUAGCAGCAGAGUGUGGUCAGUUUAUUUGAUUCUUUUUUAUAUGUGGUUUAAUCUUGAGAAGAAUCAUUCUACUUAAUUCCAAGAGAACAAAAUGGUUCAUCAUUUAUAGUAAUGUUUGGGAUUGUGAGAUGAGCAAUUUCCCAACUUUUUUGGAGAAAAAUAACCUAGAAUAGGCCUUAAAUCAGUGCUGUUCUUUGUAAAAUUGGAAGUUCUAUGUUAGAAUUCAAAAGCUAAAGACAUAAUUUCUCUGAAUACUUAAAUAUUGUGAAUUUUUAGGCAUGGAAAAGGGUUAUGAAACCUCUUAAUUCUAAUCUAACAUGGAUUCAACUUUGAUGUCCACAUAAAUUUUGGCUUGAUUACAUUUCAUUGUUUCACCUUUUCUAGUCUGUUUGACAUUUUUUAUGAAGUGAUUGACUUUAAAAACUUAGGAGCUAAUCCUAGAAUCAUAUUUUUUAAAAAUGCUAAACAUCGUAGGGUCAAAAUGGUUCUCAUUACAAAAUGUUAAAUGAAUGUACAAAGUGUCUUCAAGAAAAGUAAACAUAAUAAUGACACAGGUAACAAAUAAGGUAGAAGUUGAUGAUAGGAUUUUAGUGCACUUACUAGGAAAAUAGAUAUGGUGAAAGGAAGUCUGACAUUGUCAAAGUAUUAAUAGAUGAAUAGCUUUGAUAAGGAACCUCAUGCCUUCUCCUUGGUUUAGCAGAGUUUAUCCUGCAGUGCAUAAAGUUUGGUUUUGAAACGCUUACACCAAAUGCUCUCUUAUUCAACUUAAAUUAUUCAGAAGAGUCAUGUUUAUCUAUAGAUCUGAGACAUUGGCAUCAAGAGGCACUACAUGUAUUUUUAAGCUGUUUGAUUUUUUGUGAAACAGUUCUGUAUGCAAACUUGCCAAGAACAUUUAUGCUUCUACCAAGUCAAAGAAGUGAGGAGCAGACAAAACAAACAUAUAAGAUGUUAUCUGAUUGCUUUAGGUUGUAAGAUGAACGACUUCAAUUAGUACUGUGGUUUCCAUCUUAUGUUUUGGUUAUGUUCAACAGAUAUGGAAUUUAACACUUCUUGCUGUAGAGCCAAGACACUUGUGUAGUACUUUGGGGAGCACUUUCUUAUGGAGAAAUGUCUCAUGUAUGUCACGACACACUGGCUAUCGUGGUUUCUCUUUUGUUCCUUACAAGCUGCUUCAUGUCAAGGAAGUGUGCUUGUGCUUUUCUGUUAAUUUUCUUCCACUUUCCCUUUCGGGGUGGGUGUGGAGGCAAAGAAUGCCCACAGCACUGUAAAUGUUGUUUCUAAGGAGUAUUUGACUCCUCUUAAGUUAGUCUCUAAAUUGAGGUUUCAGGUACUCGUUUUAUCACAGGACAUGCCACAUUAAAGACGAGAUUCAUUUGUAGCAGUUUGAG
Molecule: long non-coding RNA, 2072 nt
Filed under: Solanum tuberosum (potato)
Lineage: Eukaryota; Viridiplantae; Streptophyta; Magnoliopsida; Solanales; Solanaceae
Description: long non-coding RNA (STUB_LNC002288)
Source: RNAcentral